This 507-nucleotide ribosomal RNA is filed under the name uncultured Oxalicibacterium sp. Its description in RNAcentral is "bacterial SSU rRNA". It matches the Rfam family "Bacterial small subunit ribosomal RNA", at positions 521 to 1023 of the family's 1533-position model. The record is from RNAcentral. Lineage: Bacteria; Pseudomonadati; Pseudomonadota; Betaproteobacteria; Burkholderiales; Oxalobacteraceae.
UAAUACGGUAGGGGUGCAAGCGUUAAUCGGGAAUUACUGGGCGUAAAGCGUGCGCAGGCGGUUGUGCAAGACAGAUGUGAAAUCCCCGGGGCUUAACCUGGGAAUUGCAUUUGUGACUGCACGGCUAGAGUGUGUCAGAGGGGGGGUAGAAUUCCACGUGUAGCAGUGAAAUGCGUAGAGAUGUGGAGGAAUACCGAUGGCGAAGGCAGCCCCCUGGGAUAACACUGACGCUCAUGCACGAAAGCGUGGGGAGCAAACAGGAUUAGAUACCCUGGUAGUCCACGCCCUAAACGAUGUCAACUAGUUGUCGGGUCUUAAUUGACUUGGUAACGCAGCUAACGCGUGAAGUUGACCGCCUGGGGGAGUACGGUCGCAAGAUUAAAACUCAAAGGAAUUGACGGGGACCCGCACAAGCGGUGGAUGAUGUGGAUUAAUUCGAUGCAACGCGAAAACCUUACCUACCCUUGACAUGGCAGGAAUCCCUGAGAGAUCAGGGAGUGCUCGAAA